UUUAUUUGCGCAGGAUAGGUGGGAGGCUUUGAUCAUAUUUUUGCGGAAUUAUGUGAGCCGUUGGUGAGAUACCACUCUUGUAAAGCUAGAAUUCUAACCUUGUAUCGUAAGCAGGUCGGGGAACAGUUUCAGGUGGGCAGUUUGACUGGGGCGGCCGCCUCCUAAAAGGUAACGGAGGCGCACAAAGGUUUCCUCAUAUCGGUCAGAAAUCGAUAGUAGAGCGUAAAGGCAUAAGGAAGCUUGACUGCGAGACCUACAAGUCGAGCAGAGACGAAAGUCGGUCUUAGUGAUCUGACGGUUCCGAGUGGAAGGGCCGUCACUCAACGGAUAAAAGUUACUCUAGGGAUAACAGGCUGAA
Molecule: ribosomal RNA, 358 nt
Filed under: uncultured eukaryote
Lineage: Eukaryota
Description: LSU rRNA
Rfam family: Bacterial large subunit ribosomal RNA
Source: RNAcentral